GGAUCGGUGGCUGAGUGGUCGAAAGCGCUCCCCUGCUAAGGGAGUAUACCCCAAAAGGGUAUCGAGGGUUCGAAUCCCUCCCGAUCCGCCG
This 91-nucleotide transfer RNA is filed under the name Verrucomicrobiaceae bacterium. RNAcentral describes it as "tRNA-Ser". It matches the Rfam family "tRNA". From Rfam's summary of the family: Transfer RNA (tRNA) molecules are approximately 80 nucleotides in length. Their secondary structure includes four short double-helical elements and three loops (D, anti-codon, and T loops). Lineage: Bacteria; Pseudomonadati; Verrucomicrobiota; Verrucomicrobiia; Verrucomicrobiales; Verrucomicrobiaceae. The record is from RNAcentral.